This 403-nucleotide ribosomal RNA is filed under the name uncultured bacterium. Its description in RNAcentral is "bacterial SSU rRNA". It matches the Rfam family "Bacterial small subunit ribosomal RNA", at positions 356 to 773 of the family's 1533-position model. The record is from RNAcentral.
GGGGAAUAUUGGGCAAUGGGCGAAAGCCUGACCCAGCAACGCCGCGUGAGGGAAGAAGGUUUUCGGAUUGUAAACCUCUGUCGCAGAUGACGAAGGAAGUGACGGUAAUCUGUGAGGAAGCCCCGGCUAACUACGUGCCAGCAGCCGCGGUAAUACGUAGGGGGCGAGCGUUGUCCGGAAUUACUGGGCGUAAAGGGUGCGUAGGCGGCAUAUUAAGUUGGAUGUGAAAUGCCCGGGCUUAACUUGGGACUUGCAUUCAAAACUGGUAAGCUAGAGUACAGGAGAGGAAAGCGGAAUUCCUAGUGUAGCGGUGAAAUGCGUAGAUAUUUGGAGGAACACCGGUGGCGAAGGCGGCUUUCUGGACUGAAACUGACGCUGAGGCACGAAAGCGUGGGGAGCAAAC